CAGCUUCGAGCUCAAGUGGCAGUAGCUCAGCUUUGGUGGCUUCUGGAGGAGCAGGAGGCGGUAGACGGAGCGAUAGGAGAUCGCAACGAGGGCGGUCCAAGUCCAGGAGGGACUUGAGCAAAACCAGGUGUUACCGGUGUGAGGAGUUGGGACAUCUAGCAAGAGAUUGCCCUCAACUCAAAAAUCGGACGGUGGCUGUUGUAGCGACGACCGGCAGCGAUUUAGAUGGAGAUGUCCUGGAGAUAUCUGACGAGGUAUCUACUUCUUCCCAGCAGUGGAUAUUAGAUUCUGCGUGCCCCUAUCAUGUAUGUUGCAGAGAGGAGUAGUUUGACUCCCUAGAGAACAGUGAGGGCACUAUAUAUCUGCCGGAUGGAUC
This 376-nucleotide long non-coding RNA is filed under the name Elaeis guineensis (African oil palm). RNAcentral describes it as "long non-coding RNA (EGUI_LNC053422)". Lineage: Eukaryota; Viridiplantae; Streptophyta; Magnoliopsida; Arecales; Arecaceae. The record is from RNAcentral.